GAGGUUUGAUCCUGGCUCAGGAUGAACGCUGGCGGCGUGCCUAAUACAUGCAAGUCGAGCGAACAGACGAGGAGCUUGCUCCUCUGACGUUAGCGGCGGACGGGUGAGUAACACGUGGGUAACCUACCUAUAAGACUGGGAUAACUCCGGGAAACCGGGGCUAAUACCGGAUAAUACAUGAAACCGCAUGGUUUCAUGAUGAAAGACGGUUUUGCUGUCACUUAUAGAUGGACCCGCGGCGUAUUAGCUAGUUGGUAAGGUAACGGCUUACCAAGGCAACGAUACGUAGCCGACCUGAGAGGGUGAUCGGCCAUACUGGAACUGAGACACGGUCCAGACUCCUACGGGAGGCAGCAGUAGGGAAUCUUCCGCAAUGGGCGAAAGCCUGACGGAGCAACGCCGCGUGAGUGAUGAAGGUCUUCGGAUCGUAAAACUCUGUUAUUAGGGAAGAACAAGGGUGUAAGUAACUAUGCACCCCUUGACGGUACCUAAUCAGAAAGCCACGGCUAACUACGUGCCAGCAGCCGCGGUAAUACGUAGGUGGCAAGCGUUAUCCGGAAUUAUUGGGCGUAAAGCGCGCGUAGGCGGUUUUUUAAGUCUGAUGUGAAAGCCCACGGCUCAACCGUGGAGGGUCAUUGGAAACUGGAAAACUUGAGUGCAGAAGAGGAAAGUGGAAUUCCAUGUGUAGCGGUGAAAUGCGUAG
RNAcentral lists this ribosomal RNA (703 nucleotides) under uncultured bacterium. RNAcentral describes it as "bacterial SSU rRNA". It matches the Rfam family "Bacterial small subunit ribosomal RNA", at positions 9 to 693 of the family's 1533-position model. The record is from RNAcentral.